CAUGACAUAACCAUCAUACAUCUGACCCAUGUCCUCCCCACAUGAUACCAUAAACUAUCCUCAACAGAUGAUUUCAUAUCAAAUUUAUUUUCCACCACAUGAACAAUCUUCACAAAUACCCAUCACUUCAUAUCACAUUCAUUUCAUUCCCAGCAGGUUGAAUUUCUGGAUAUUUUUAUUUAUUUAAUCCUCUCUUACCUUGGAUGUGUGGAAGCCGUUGCUAUCUAAACAUUCAGGUUCAAGAAGAUUAAAUAGGGGCAGGUGUCAUACCCCGAAAUUCACCCUACUUCGAUACAACUUUCAUUUGAUCCAUGGCCCUACUGCAACUGCAUGCUUUCAUUAUCUCCUCAUCAUAAUUAUAUUAACUUUCAUAACCAAAUACAUAUUGCAUGGGAUCAAGGCACGAUUUAAAAAAAAAAAAGAGGAAAAGGGGGGACACCGGAUUUUGCCUUGCACACUCCAAAAAAAGAGAGCCUUUUUUGCACAAAGGGUAUUUGGUUCCCCCCAUUUUCCCACUAACUUUCCCUAUAAAUAGAUGCACCAUUUCCCUUCAUUUUUCAUGCUUUCUAGCCCCCAAAAAUGAUGAAAAAAUAUCAUUCAACUCCUCUUCUCCAAACCUAAAUCAAAACCCAAAAAAAAC
RNAcentral lists this long non-coding RNA (640 nucleotides) under Lathyrus oleraceus (garden pea). RNAcentral's name for it is "Pisum sativum (pea) long non-coding RNA (PSAT_LNC020918)". The record is from RNAcentral. Lineage: Eukaryota; Viridiplantae; Streptophyta; Magnoliopsida; Fabales; Fabaceae.